ACGCUGGCGGCGUGCUUAACACAUGCAAGUCGAACGGUGAAGCCAAGCUUGCUUGGUGGAUCAGUGGCGAACGGGUGAGUAACACGUGAGCAACCUGCCCUGGACUCUGGGAUAAGCGCUGGAAACGGCGUCUAAUACUGGAUAUGUGACGUGAUCGCAUGGUCGUGUUUGGAAAGAUUUUUCGGUCUGGGAUGGGCUCGCGGCCUAUCAGCUUGUUGGUGAGGUAAUGGCUCACCAAGGCGUCGACGGGUAGCCGGCCUGAGAGGGUGACCGGCCACACUGGGACUGAGACACGGCCCAGACUCCUACGGGAGGCAGCAGUGGGGAAUAUUGCACAAUGGGCGGAAGCCUGAUGCAGCAACGCCGCGUGAGGGAUGACGGCCUUCGGGUUGUAAACCUCUUUUAGCAGGGAAGAAGCGAAAGUGACGGUACCUGCAGAAAAAGCGCCGGCUAACUACGUGCCAGCAGCCGCGGUAAUACGUAGGGCGCAAGCGUUAUCCGGAAUUAUUGGGCGUAAAGAGCUCGUAGGCGGUUUGUCGCGUCUGCUGUGAAAUCCCGAGGCUCAACCUCGGGCCUGCAGUGGGUACGGGCAGACUAGAGUGCGGUAGGGGAGAUUGGAAUUCCUGGUGUAGCGGUGGAAUGCGCAGAUAUCAGGAGGAACACCGAUGGCGAAGGCAGAUCUCUGGGCCGUAACUGACGCUGAGGAGCGAAAGGGUGGGGAGCAAACAGGCUUAGAUACCCUGGUAGUCCACCCCGUAAACGUUGGGAACUAGUUGUGGGGACCAUUCCACGGUUUCCGUGACGCAGCUAACGCAUUAAGUUCCCCGCCUGGGGAGUACGGCCGCAAGGCUAAAACUCAAAGGAAUUGACGGGGACCCGCACAAGCGGCGGAGCAUGCGGAUUAAUUCGAUGCAACGCGAAGAACCUUACCAAGGCUUGACAUAUACGAGAACGGGCCAGAAAUGGUCAACU
RNAcentral lists this ribosomal RNA (972 nucleotides) under Microbacterium testaceum. RNAcentral's name for it is "bacterial SSU rRNA". It matches the Rfam family "Bacterial small subunit ribosomal RNA", at positions 33 to 1015 of the family's 1533-position model. Lineage: Bacteria; Bacillati; Actinomycetota; Actinomycetes; Micrococcales; Microbacteriaceae. The record is from RNAcentral.